RNAcentral lists this long non-coding RNA (1338 nucleotides) under Marmota monax (woodchuck). The record is from RNAcentral. Lineage: Eukaryota; Metazoa; Chordata; Mammalia; Rodentia; Sciuridae.
GUGAGACUCACGCUCAACUUGCAGUCGCACCCUCAGGUUUCAAAAAGCAUGUCUGCCUCAGAUCUGUGAAUUGUUUAACAGGAUUAAUCCGCCUCGCAAGCACUCCGCUGUCACUUUGUUCCUGGCUAGACGAGCUCUGAUAGAGGCUGCAGAGCCAGCUUGAAACCCAAGGAUCUGGCUCCUCCACCUCCCCCGAAGCCCAGAGAGAGUGCUUCUCACUGCAGAGCCUGUCGGCAGGCAGAUGGCCCUGCUUGGGGGCCGUGGGGACCCAGAGCUGGGCUUCUGCCGAAGACGGCAGGUCUUGAGGGUCUGCACAGGCGGCCCUGCAUUCCAAGCCUCCCACCUUUCUGACACCCUCAGCCCCUGCCCAGGGUUUGUCCAGAAAGACCAAGCUCCAGGGUCCCCUAGAGCUGCAACAUCAAGCUCAGCUCCACAGCAAGGGUCAGAGUCAGGCAGCUACAGAGGGUACAGGGGAGGAGCCAGGCUGCCAUGCUCAAGCCCCACUCUGCCACUGGCUACCAACGGGCCGCCUACUCCUCCACCUCUCUGGGCCUCAUUUCCAUCCCCUAGAAAGUGGGGUGGUGUUGAUAAAGGGGGCCUCACGUGGAGUCUGCUGUGAGCGAUGAUUACUGUGCGUGGAGAAGGUGGGGCAGGGCGGGCCUCGGAAGUGCACUACCCGAGCUUCUGUGCCAGCUGGGGCUGUUCUAAGUAUUCUGUGUUAUUGUUAUCAGGAGUAUUAUUCAGUUACCAUUAGGGUACAUAAUGAUAGUAUGAGUCCCAUGUGACAGCCCAAGGUCCCCACGUGAGUUACAGUCGGCUCUCGGUAUCCAUGGGUUCUGCACCUACAGAUUCAACCAGCUAGACAAGGCUGGAUAAUGGAUCCCAAACACAGCCAGACAGGAAGAGCACAUUCUACUGUCUAGAGCACACUGGGGACCACAGGUCACAAAAGCCUAUUACCCAUUUUAUAAAGAAAACAGGGGCUCACAGACUCCAAACUCAAAGAAAUGGUAAGGAGAAGGAAAUGUGAACCCCCCGCCCCCCCCCCGAUUUGGGUACAUCUAUCACACUGUGUACAUCUAUGGAAAUACCACACGGCACCUCAGAGUUGCACAUUAUUACACGUCAAUCAAAGAAUACUUUAAUGUUGAAGGAGAUGAAAAUGUUAAGUACCCCAAUUUGACUCAUUAUUCAUUGUCUACAUGCAUCAAAUUAACACACCAUACCUCAUAAAUACAACUCAGAGAGACCCUGUCUCUAAAUAAAAUUUAUUUCUUAACUAUAGUUUAAGAAAUAAAUCUACAAAUCUGAACUGAACAUAUACAAACUUCUUCCUGG